RNAcentral lists this ribosomal RNA (1057 nucleotides) under uncultured soil eukaryote. Its description in RNAcentral is "SSU rRNA". It matches the Rfam family "Eukaryotic small subunit ribosomal RNA", at positions 13 to 1189 of the family's 1831-position model. The record is from RNAcentral.
CCUGCCUGAACUGAUGUGUUCAUUUCAAAGAUUAAGCCAUGCAUGUCUAAGUACAAACGCCCUGGAGCGUGAAACCGCGAACGGCUCAUUAUAACAGCUAUAAUUCACUUGAUCUUGACAUCCUAAUUGGAUAACUGUGGUAAUUCUAUAGCUAAUACAUGCACAAGAGCCCCCUUUGCUGGGGGUGCAUUUAUUAGAGGAAAACCAAGCGGCUUCGGCCGCACAGUGUUGACUCAGAAUAACUAAGCUGAUCGACAGCGAAUGCCGUCGACGUGUCUUUCAAGUAUCUGCCUUAUCAACUUUCGAUGGUAGUGUAUCUGCCUACCAUGGUGGUGACGGGUAACGGAGGAUCAGGGUCCGACUCCGGAGAAGGGGCCUGAGAAAUGGCCACUACGUCUAAGGAUGGCAGCAGGCGCGCAAAUUACCCACUCUCGGCGUGAGGAGGUAGUGACGAGAAAUAACGAGGUGGAUCCCAAUGGGAUUCAUCAUCGGAAUGGGUGCAACUUAAAUCACUCAACGAGUAUCUAUGAGAGGGCAAGUCUGGUGCCAGCAGCCGCGGUAAUUCCAGCUCUCAAAAUGCAUAGAAUUAUUGCUGCGGUUAAAAAGCUCGUAGUAGCCCCGUCACCUUGAACAAAUCAGAGUGCUCAACACAGGCGUCUCGCCUGAAUGUUCGUGCAUGGAAUAAUGGAAGAGGAUUUCGGUUCUGUUUUAUUGGUUUUUUGGAUGCCGAGGUAAUGGUUAAUAGAGACAAAUGGGGGCAUUCGUACCGCUGCGUGAGAGGUGAAAUUCUUGGACCGCAGCGAGACGCACGACAGCGAAAGCAUUUGCCAAGCGUGUCUUCAUUAAUCAAGAACGAAAGUCAGAGGUUCGAAGGCGAUCAGAUACCGCCCUAGUUCUGACCGUAAACGAUGCCAACUAGCGAUCCGGCCGAGAUAUUUGCGCUCGGUUGGGGAGCUUCUCGGAAACGAAAGUCUUCCGGUUCCGGGGGAAGUAUGGUUGCAAAGCUGAAACUUAAAGGAAUUGACGGAAGGGCACCACCAGGAGUGGAGCCUGCGGC